Molecule: ribosomal RNA, 300 nt
Filed under: uncultured Sulfophobococcus sp.
Lineage: Archaea; Thermoproteati; Thermoproteota; Thermoprotei; Desulfurococcales; Desulfurococcaceae
Description: bacterial SSU rRNA
Rfam family: Bacterial small subunit ribosomal RNA (bases 61-300)
Source: RNAcentral
GAGUUCAGAUCCGCCGGGAGGGGGGGAAAUUCGUGGGAGGCGAGAGGUGUGCUGUGGUGGUUGGCGGCAAGGGAGGGGAGGCGGCCAGACAAGUCCGUCUGAAAAGGGCGGGACUCAACCCCGUGAUGUGAGGGAAACUGUCGGUGUGGAGUGGCGGAGAGGAAAGCGGAAUUCCUAGUGUAGCGGUGAAAUGCGUAGAUAUUAGGAGGAAAACCAGUGUCGAAAGCGGCUUUCUGGACGACAACUGACGCUGAGGCGCGAAAGCCAGGGGAGCAAACGGGAUUAGAUACCCUUGUAGUC